AAGCCUUUGUGUAUUCUUGCAUGCAAGAUGGCUUUCCUGGAUACAGCACACCAAUGGGUUUUGGCUUUUUAUCCAAUUUGCCAGUCUGUUUCUUUUGAUUGGGGCAUUUAGCCCAUUUACAUUUAGGGUUAAUAUUGUUAUGUGUGAAUUUGAUCCUGUCAUUUUGAUGCUAGCUGGCUGUUUUGCCCGUUAGUUGAUGCAGUUUCUUCAUUGUGUCAAUGCUCUUUACCAUUUGGUAUGUUUUUGGAGUGGCUGGUACUGGUUGUUCCUUUCUAUGUUUAGUGCUUCUUUCAGGAGCUCUUGUAAAGCAGGCCUGGUGGUGAUGAAAUCUCUGAGUACUUGCUUGUUUGUAAAGGAUUUUAUUUCUCCUUCACUUAUGAAGCUUAGUUUGGCUGGAUAUGAAAUUCUGGAUUGAAAGUUCUUUUCUUUAAGGAUGUUGAAUAUUGGCCCCCACUCUCUUUGGCUUGUAGGGUUUCUGCUGAGAGAUCUGCUGUGAGUCUGAUGGGCUUCCCUUUAUGGGUAACCCGACCUUUCUCUCUGGCUGCCCUUAGCAUUUUCUCUGUCAUUUCAACCCUGGUCAAUCUGAUGAUUAUAUGCCUUGGGGUUGCUCUUUUUGAGGAAUAUCUUUGUGGUGUACUCUGUAUUUCCUGGACUUGAAUAUUGGCCUGCCUUGCUAGGUUGGGGAAGUUUUCCUGGAUAAUAUCCUGAAGAGUAUUUUCCAGCUUGGAUUCAUUCUCUCUGUCACAUUCAGGUACACCUAUCAAAUGUAGAUUAGGUCUUUUCACAUAGUCCCAUAUUUCUUGGAGACUUGUUCAUUACUUUUUACCCUUUUUUCUCUAAUUUUGCCUUCUUUCUUUUAUUUUUUUUUUCGAGAUGGAGUUUCGCUCCUGUUACCCAGGCUGGAGUGCAAUGGCAUGAUCUUGGCUCACCACAACCUCCGCCUCCUGGGUUCAGGCAAUUCCCCUGCCUCAGCCUCCUGAGUAGCUGGGAUUACAGGCACGUGCCACCAUGCCCAGCUAAUUUUUUGUAUAUUUUUAGUAGAGACGGGGUUUCACCAUGUUGACCAGGAUGGUCUCGAUCUCUUGACCUCGUGAUCCACCCACCUUGGCCUCCCAAAGUGCUGGGAUUACAGGUUUGAGCCACCGUGCCCGGCCCUUGCCUUCUCUUUUUAUUUCAUUGAGUUGAUCUUCGAUCUCUGAUAUCCUUUCUUCUUCUUGGUCAAUUUGGCUGUUGAAACUUGUGUAUGCUUCGCGAAGUUCUUGUGUUGUGUUUUUCAGCUCCAUCAAUUUGCUUAUAUUCCUCUCUAAGUUGUUUAUUCUCAUUAGCAUUUCAUCAAAUCUUGUUUCAAGGUUCUUAGUUUCUUUUCUUUUUCUUUUUGAGAUGGAGUUUCGCUGUUGUUACCCAGACUGGAGUGCAAUGGCAUGAUCUUGGCUCACCGCAACCUCUGCCUUCUGGGAUCAAGCAAUUCUCCUGCCUCAGCCUCCCGAGUAGCUGGGACUACAGGUGCACACCACCAUGCCCAGCUAAUUUUUGUAUUUUUAGUAGAGACGAGGUUUCACUUGACCUCAUGAUCCACCCACCUUGGCCUCCCAAAGUACUGGGAUUAUAGGCAUGCCCGGCCUGGUUCUUAGUUUCUUUGCAUUGGGUUAGAACAUGUUAUUUUAGGUCAGAGAAGUUUCUUAUUACCCACCUUCUGAAGCCUGUUUCUUUCAAUUCAUCACACUCAUUCUCCAUCCAGCCUUGUUCCCUUGCUGGUGAGGAGUUGUGUUCCCUUGCUGCUGAGGAGUUGUGAUCCCUUGUAGGAGAGGUAUUCUGGUUUCGGGUGUUUUCAUCCUUUUUGUGCUGGUUUCUUCCCAUCUUUGUGGAUUUAUCCACCUGUCAUCUUUGCAGUUGUUGACUUUCAGAUUGGGUCUCUUGAGUGGACAUUGAGUGGACAUCCAGUUUGUUAAUGAUGAAGUUAUUUCUUUCUGUUUCUUAGUUUUCUUUCUAACAUUCAGGCCCCUCUGCUGUAGGACUGCUGAGGUCCACUUCAGGUCCUGCUUGCCUGGGGAUUACCUGCAGUGGCUGCAGAACAGUAAGGGUUGCUACCAGUUUCUUCUUCUGCUACUUUGUCCCAGAAGGAUACACACUAGCUGUCAGUCUGAGCUCUCCUUUAUGAGGUGACUCUAUGGAUAUACAGGGGUCAGGGAGCUGCUUGAGGAGAUGGUCUGUUCUUUAUUGGAGCUCAAGUGCUGAGCUGUGAGCUCCGUUGUUCAUUCAGAGCUGCUGGGUAGGUAUGUUUAAGUCUGCUGCAGCAGAACUCAUAAUCCCCCCCCCCUUUUUUUCCACAGGUGCUCUGUCCCAGGAAGUUAGGGCUUUAUUUAUAAGUUACUGUCAUGCUGCUGCCUUUUAUCAGGGCUGCCCUGCCCAAUGAGGAGGCAGCCUAGUCACUGUCUGCCUGCAGAGGCUUUGCUGAGCUGCUGUGGGCUCUACCCAGCUGCCAUGUGAACUUCCCUGCAGUCCUGUUUAUACAGGUGUAGUUAGAACUGCCUCAGCAGUGGCAGCCCACCUCUGUAAUGGUGGACUCUCUCUGUAAUUGGGGGUUGCCUCCGCAAUGGUAGGCUGCCUCAACAAUGGUGAACUACCUCAGUGGUGGACUGCCUCAGUAAUGGUGUACGUCCCUCCCCCACAAAGCUGGACUGUCCCGGGUUCAGCUGUGCUUGCUGUGAAACUCAAUCCAGAGCAUUUCAGAUUGCUGUGUUUUUGUUGUUUUUUUUUGAGACGGAGUUUCCCUCUUGUUACCCAGACUGGAGGGCAAUGGCAGGAUCUCGGCUCACUGCAACCUCCGCCUCCUGGGUUCAAGCAAUUCUCCUGCCUCAGCCUCUAGAGUAGCUGGGACUACAGCUAAUUUUUUGUAUUUUCAGUAGAGCCGGGGUCUCACCAUGUUGACCAGGAUGGUCUCCAUCUCUUGACCUCGUAAUCCACCCACCUCAGCUUCCCAAAGUGCUGGGAUUACCGGCGUGAGCCACCGCGCCCGGCCCCCUGUGCAUAUUUCACCUGGCUCUGCAUGGCCUGCAGGGUGGCUCUCGGAUAGGCAACCCCGCUUCCUGGGAAUAGCCCUGCCCCUUUGUCUCCGCCCCUCUGCCUUUCCCGGCAGACGCUGGGAUCUCUCUACCAGCUUUGGAAGGCGUUUGCUGUAGCGUCCUCCUGACGUCAGCACGCAAUUGUCGUGAUUCCUGUUUCCCAGUCUAUUCCGAGGCCCCGCCCAUUGCCUGCUUGCCUGGAAACAGAAGUGCGCUCCCGGAAACGGAAGUAAACGCUGCACUCCUCGUGCAUCCGCGUGCUGGCUCUUCUACACCGAAUAAAGUUCCUCCCACCAGACGAGGAGGACCAAAGUAGAGAGGGGGUCAAAGGGGGUUCUCCUGCAGGUCGCCUUCUCCGGUGCCUUUCCCGGAUCUCGGACGUGGGGCCUCCUGCCGCUAUGGCACUUCUUUCCAGACUCCCGCUGGUGCCUCUCGCGGCUUGGGUCCAGGUGCUCCCCUUUCCCAAUCCUCUUCAUCAACCUUUGCAGACUUUCUUGCCAAAGAAGAAAAGUUCUUGCUGGGGUCGUGGUUAUUUCAGCGGCUUCACCGACCUGGGGAUUUCAGCCAGUUUGGGCUGAACCACUGAAAAGGCUUAUGACUGCUAACAGCUCAGGAUGAAUGAGCCUCUGAAGUGCAGAACUGUUCUGAAUAUCAUUUAACUCGUGACAGAACACAGGACGCACUGGGGAAAGAGCUGGUCUGAUAAAGAAGAAGAAAUCAUCCUCAAGAUGAGUCUGGAAUAUCUUAUAUCACACCCUCACUUUUCUCGUUGUUCAAAUGGGACAGACUUCAUAGGGUUGGGCUGAUAUCCCUAAAUCACUAAAACAAUAAGGAGUAACUCACAAGGACCAUGAAGGUGAGAAUAUUUGCAUUUCAUAAUAAAAGGGUUACAUUUCAGAACAUGUAGUAUACUUAGCUAUAUUGUGAAGUCAGGAAAAUCUAGUGCUGCAAAUCUUACAGCAGAGCUCGGACUGUCUUCUUAACUUAGUAGCCUACCUUCAAGGCCCUGUUUGCUUGCCCCUCAUUUCUUUUACUUUUUAAACCUAUUUAUUGUAAACAAAGACACAAACAUACACUUAAUCUAGGUCUACAUAGGGUUAGGAUCAUGAAUAUCACUGUCUUAGACCUUCUAUUGUGUCCCACUUAAGGUAUUCAGGGGCAAUAACAUGCAUGGAGCUGACAUCUCCUAUGGUGACAUGCCUUCUGGAAUCCCUUCUGAAUUACAGUUAACUUUUUUUUAGCAAGCAGAAGGAAUAUACUCUAAACAACAAUAAAUAAUGUGAAAAUAUAUAAAA
Callithrix jacchus (white-tufted-ear marmoset) is the source of this 4357-nucleotide non-coding RNA. NCBI's taxonomy places the organism in Eukaryota, Metazoa, Chordata, Mammalia, Primates, Cebidae. The record is from RefSeq and is a predicted model, not a curated record.